RNAcentral lists this ribosomal RNA (1325 nucleotides) under Pseudosperma rimosum. Its description in RNAcentral is "LSU rRNA". It matches the Rfam family "Eukaryotic large subunit ribosomal RNA", at positions 59 to 1378 of the family's 3401-position model. Lineage: Eukaryota; Fungi; Basidiomycota; Agaricomycetes; Agaricales; Inocybaceae. The record is from RNAcentral.
AAGAAACUAACAAGGAUUCCCUUAGUAACUGCGAGUGAAGUGGGAAAAGCUCAAAUUUAGAAUCUGGCGGUCACUUGGCUGUCCGAGUUGUAAUCUAGAGAAGUGUUGCCCGUGCUGGACCAUGUACAAGUCUCCUGGAAUGGAGCAUCACAGAGGGUGAGAAUCCUGUCUUUGACAUGGACUGCCAGUGCUUUUGUGGUACGCUCUCAAAGAGUCGAGUUGUUUGGGAAUGCAGCUCAAAAUGGGUGGUAAAUGCCAUCUAAAGCUAAAUAUUGGCGAGAGACCGAUAGUGAACAAGUACCGUGAGGGAAAGAUGAAAAGAACUUUGGAAAGAGAGUUAAACAGUACGUGAAAUUGCUGAAAGGGAAACGCUUGAAGUCAGUCACGUUGACUUGGAAUCAGCUCUGCUUUUGCUGGGUGUACUUUCUUGUCAAUGGGUCAGCAUCAAUUUNGACCAUUGGAUAAAGUUGCUGGGAAUGUAGCAUCCUUUUGGAUGUGUUAUAGCCUGGUGAUGCAUACGGUGGUUGGGAUUGAGGAAUUCAGCACGCCACAAGGCCGGGUUUCGACCACGUUCGUGCUUAGGAUGCUGGCAUAAUGGCUUUAAUUGACCCGUCUUGAAACACGGACCAAGGAGUCUAACAUAUCUGCGAGUGUUUGGGUGGAAAACCCAUGUGCGUAAUGAAAGUGAAAGUUGAGAUCCCUUCGGGGAGCAUCGACGCCCGGACCAGACCUUUUGUGACGGAUCCGCGGUAGAGCAUGUAUGUUGGGACCCGAAAGAUGGUGAACUAUGCCUGAAUAGGGUGAAGCCAGAGGAAACUCUGGUGGAGGCUCGUAGCGAUUCUGACGUGCAAAUCGAUCGUCAAAUUUGGGUAUAGGGGCGAAAGACUAAUCGAACCAUCUAGUAGCUGGUUCCUGCCGAAGUUUCCCUCAGGAUAGCAGAAACUCAUAUCAGAUUUAUGUGGUAAAGCGAAUGAUUAGAGGCCUUGGGGUUGAAACAACCUUAACCUAUUCUCAAACUUUAAAUAUGUAAGAACGAGCCGUCUCUUGACUGGACUGCUCGAUGAUUGAGAGUUUCUAGUGGGCCAUUUUUGGUAAGCAGAACUGGCGAUGCGGGAUGAACCGAACGCGAGGUUAAGGUGCCGGAAUUCACGCUCAUCAGACACCACAAAAGGUGUGAGUUCAUCUAGACAGCAGGACGGUGGCCAUGGAAGUCCGAAUCCGCUAAGGAGUGUGUAACAACUCACCUGCCGAAUGAACUAGCCCUGAAGAUGGAUGGCGCUAAGCGUGAUACCAAGCUGCCAUCAGUGUUGACGUGAUGCACUGAU